This 272-nucleotide non-coding RNA is filed under the name unclassified sequences. RNAcentral's name for it is "ARRPOF RNA". It matches the Rfam family "ARRPOF RNA". The record is from Rfam by way of RNAcentral.
AUGAUUCUUAGUUAAUCUUCAUUCAACCAUGGGUUGUUUUUGUUAUGCAAAAAAAUAAGUAAAACUUAGGUUGAAUAAACUUAAGUUUUUUUAUUUUAGUUAAGAAAAAUAGACAAGUGGUGGUAGUCCGCCACUCUAAGGGGACGCCUUUAGAAGAAGAGGCUAGGAGAGGUAUUCCGGUGUGGGAUAUCUAGUAAUAUGCAGCGCUAAAUGCAUAAGAUUGUAGGACGGAAUUUACAGUCUUGGUUUUUUAAACCUGAAACUAGAUAAGC